GUCCCAGGAGGGUCAACUGUGUCCUGGGGUGCAUCAGGCACAGCAUCACCAGCUGGUCAAUGGAAGUGAUUGUCCCACUCUGCUCUGCACUGGGGCAGCCUUAUCUCAAAUCCUCUGUGCUGUUUUGGUCACCACAAUAUAAAAAGGACGUUAAGGACCAGACCCUUGCCUAUGUGUUUUAACACUUUGGAGAAAACAGGCCAAACCCUACAAAAAGCAGCACAACUGUCAGGUCUCAUAAGCAGGUGGCUGGAUGAAGCUUCUAUUUUGAGAUUCCAACACAGAGCUGGUGUGAACGCGCUCACUAUCUGUGCUGAGGAAGAAGCAGAAGGAGGUUGGAACCCCCAGCUUUUCUUGGGAAGAAGGAAUUGCUUGGCUUUCUUAGCCCAGAAAAGGGUUGCCAGCUGCAUAUCCAAAACUGGUUCCAUGGUACCACAGAGCAGUUCCUGCCUGCCUUGCUGUGUGCCAAAGCUAAUGAGGUAAGAAUAUGAAGGCAAUCACUUGAUGGAAGGAGGGGCUCAAAAUUUGAGAU
Poecile atricapillus (Black-capped chickadee) is the source of this 532-nucleotide long non-coding RNA. RefSeq lists it as uncharacterized. Lineage: Eukaryota; Metazoa; Chordata; Aves; Passeriformes; Paridae. The record is from RefSeq and is a predicted model, not a curated record. The transcript has 4 exons.